This 559-nucleotide ribosomal RNA is filed under the name uncultured bacterium. RNAcentral's name for it is "bacterial SSU rRNA". It matches the Rfam family "Bacterial small subunit ribosomal RNA", at positions 368 to 951 of the family's 1533-position model. The record is from RNAcentral.
ACAAUGGGCGCAAGCCUGAUCCAGCCAUGCCGCGUGUGUGAUGAAGGCCUUAGGGUCGUAAAGCACUUUCGCCAGAGAUGAUAAUGACAGUAUCUGGUAAAGAAACCCCGGCUAACUCCGUGCCAGCAGCCGCGGUAAUACGGAGGGGGUUAGCGUUGUUCGGAAUUACUGGGCGUAAAGCGCACGUAGGCGGAUUAGUCAGUCAGAGGUGAAAUCCCAGGGCUCAACCCUGGAACUGCCUUUGAUACUGCUAGUCUUGAGUUCGAGAGAGGUGAGUGGAAUUCCGAGUGUAGAGGUGAAAUUCGUAGAUAUUCGGAGGAACACCAGUGGCGAAGGCGGCUCACUGGCUCGAUACUGACGCUUGAGGUGCGAAAGUGUGGGGAGCAAACAGGAUUAGAUACCCUGGUAGUCCACACCGUAAACGAUGAAUGCCAGUCGUCGGGUAGUAUACUAUUCGGUGACACACCUAACGGAUUAAGCAUUCCGCCUGGGGAGUACGGUCGCAAGAUUAAAACUCAAAGGAAUUGACCGGGCCCCCAACCGGGACCUUUGGUUAAUU